This 402-nucleotide ribosomal RNA is filed under the name uncultured prokaryote. Its description in RNAcentral is "bacterial SSU rRNA". It matches the Rfam family "Bacterial small subunit ribosomal RNA", at positions 355 to 774 of the family's 1533-position model. The record is from RNAcentral.
UGGGGAAUAUUGCACAAUGGACGAAAGUCUGAUGCAGCAACGCCGCGUGGAGGAUGACACAUUUCGGUGCGUAAACUCCUUUUAUAUGGGAAGAUAAUGACGGUACCAUAUGAAUAAGCACCGGCUAACUCCGUGCCAGCAGCCGCGGUAAUACGGAGGGUGCAAGCGUUACUCGGAAUCACUGGGCGUAAAGAGCGUGUAGGCGGAUAGGUAAGUCAGAAGUGAAAUCCAAUAGCUUAACUAUUGAACUGCUUUUGAAACUGCUUAUCUAGAAUGUGGGAGAGGUAGAUGGAAUUUCUGGUGUAGGGGUAAAAUCCGUAGAGAUCAGAAGGAAUACCGAUUGCGAAGGCGAUCUACUGGAACAUUAUUGACGCUGAGACGCGAAAGCGUGGGGAGCAAACA